RNAcentral lists this ribosomal RNA (254 nucleotides) under uncultured bacterium. RNAcentral's name for it is "partial 16S ribosomal RNA". It matches the Rfam family "Bacterial small subunit ribosomal RNA", at positions 524 to 776 of the family's 1533-position model. The record is from RNAcentral.
UACGUAGGGAGCGAGCGUUGUCCGGAUUCAUUGGGCGUAAAGCGCUUUAAGGCGGUUCGCUAAGUCGCGUGUGAAACCUCCAGGCUCAACCUGGAGACGCCACGCGAUACUGGCGUGACUAGAGUUCGGUAGGGGAUCACGGAAUUCCUGGUGUAGCGGUGAAAUGCGCAGAUAUCAGGAGGAACACCAGUGGCGAAGGCGGUGAUCUGGGCCGAUACUGACGCUGUAGAGCGAAAGCGUGGGGAGCGAACAGG